UACAGUGGCUGCUGAGUCAGGACAAGGAUGCUGAGGAUGUGGUGGACAAGGAUGACCUGAAUACACAGAAGGACAGCACCACCAUUGAUAUUGAAUUGGCCCAGCAACAGCACCAGUCCGGCCCGCAGGAGCCCCAGUCCAGGAUGACCCAUCCACUCCCCUGACCCAUAGCUCAUCAUACUUGAUAUCCGGAAAAAUGGGGCCUAAUGCAUGUGCUUAAAUUGUUGUCACAGAUUAGCCGUGCAGUCCACACAGGCUAAUCAUGGAUAACACUCCUCUUAAAGCAGAGCACCAGCAUUGAUAUCGAGUUGGCCCAGAAACCACACCAGUCACGCCUGCAGGAGCCCCAGUCCAGAACGACCCUUCCCCUGCCUUGACUUUUAACUACUCCCCCUUGACCUCCUGCCUCAAAAAGUCAGCAUCGUUGAACAACUCCGUUCUGCAGGAAAUUCUGAGCAUGAAUCUGUUCUGAACAAACGCAAUGCCCACGUUACGUUUUCCAAACAUAAGCCUGGGUAGUUUUAUUAAGCUGGAGUUGCGCGUGGGCCUGAAAGGGACUAGUGUUACAGACACGAAAAGUUAUAGCAGUAGUUAUGGUAACGCUAACAGUCAGUUGUUGCUGUUGGACAUCACAACAAAUAUCAUGAAGAAUAAAAAGUUCAAUAACUCAUUCCAAUCUUUAUGAGACAAACAGAAAUUGAACGGGAGAAAAUCAAAGAACAAUAAAAGCGUAAGCUUUCCUAGUGGGAUACUUUUGCUGUUGAAAGUUUGGACAACAGUAGGGUUGCGGACUGCCCCAGAUUGUCCUCUCAGCGGCAAAAAUAUCAUAAUAGAACGGACUUUUGGCAAUGUUACUGACAAAGAAAGGCAAUAAUGACUUGGUUGUCAAUACCCAGAGCAAGAUACAUCCAUGCUGACAAAGAAAGGCAGUAAUGACUUGGUUGUGAACACCCAGAGCGCGAUACAUCCAUGCUGACACAGUAAGGCAGUAAUGACUUGGUUGUGAACACUCAGAGCACAAUACAUCCGUGCUGACACAGAAAGGCAGUAAUAACUUGGUUGUGAACACCCAGAGCACAAUACAUACAUGCUGACACAGAAAGGAAGUAAUGACUUGGUUGUGAACACUCAGAGCACGAUACAUCCAUGCUGACACAGAAAGGCAGUAUGACUUGGCUGUGAACACAGAACACAAUACACCCAUGCUGACACAGAAAGGCAGUAAUGACUUGGUUGUGAACACCCAAAGCAAGAUAUUUCCAUGCUGACACAGAAAGGCAGUAAUGACUAUGCUGUGAACACCUUGAGCAAGAUAUAUCCUUGCUAACACAGAAAGGCAGUAAUGACUAUGCUGUGAACACCCGGAGCAUAAUACAUCCAUGCUGACACAGAAAGGCAGUAAUGACUAUGUUGUGAACACCCAGAGCAAGAUAUAUACAUGCUGACACAGAAAGGCAGUAAUGAUUAUGCUGUCUAAACCCACAGAAAGAUAUAUCCAUGCUGACACAGAAAAGCAGUAAUGACUAUGCAGUGAACACCCAGAGCAAGAUAUAUCCAUGCUGACACAGAAAGGCAGUAAUGACUUGGUUUUGAACAACCAGAGCAAGAUAUAUCCAUGCUGACACAGAAAGGCAGUAAUGACUUGGCUGUGAACACAGAACCCGAUACACCCAUGCUGACACAGAAAAGGCAGUAAUGACUUGGCAGUAAACACAGAACACAAUACACCCAUGCUGACACAGAAAGGCAGUAAUGACUUUGCUGUGAACACAGAGCACAAUACAUCCAUGCUGACACAAAAAGGCAGUAAUGACUUGGCUGUGAGCACAGAACACCAUACAUCCAUGCUGAUACAAAAAGGCAGUAAUGACAUGGCUGUGAACACAGAGCACAAUACAUCCAUGCUGACACAGAAAGGCAGUUAUGACUUGGUUGUGAACACAGAGCACAAUACAUCGUUGUUGACACAGAAAGGCAGUAAUGACUUGGCUGUGAACACAGAGCACAAUACAUCCAUGCUGACACAGAAAGGCAGUUAUGACUUGGUUGUGAACACAGAGCACAAUACAUCCUUGUUGACACAGAAAGGCAGUUAUGACUUUGCUGUGAACUCAGAGCACGAUACAUCCAUGCUGACACAGAAAGGCAGUAAUGACUAUGCUGCAAACACCCAGAGCACAAUACAUCCAUGCUGAAACAGAAAGGCAGUCAUGACUAUGCAGUGAACACCCAGAGCAAGAUAUAUCCAUGCUGACACAGAAAGGAAGUAAUGACUAUGCUGUGAACACCCAGAGCAAGAUAUAUCCAAUGUGACACAGAAAGGCAGUAAUGACUAUGCCAUGAACACCCAGAACACAAUACAUCCAUGCUGAAACAGAAAGUCAGUAAUGACUUGGUUGUGAACUCAGAGCACAAUACAUCCAUGCUGACACAGAAAGGCAGUAAUGACUUUGCUGUGAACUCAGAGCACGAUACAUCCAUGCUGACACAGAAAGGCAGUAAUGACUUGGAUGUAAACACCCAGAGCACAAUACAUCCAUGAUUACACAGAAAGGCAGUAAAGACUUGGUUGUAAACACCCAGAGCACAAUACAUCCAUGCUGACACAGAAAGGCAGUAAAGACUUUGUUGUAAACACUAAGAUAUCCAUACAUCCAUGGGGUGUGCCACAGACGCAAAUUACGCCCACCAUUUUGAACAAGGUGCUUAAAGUGAACACGUCUGGUUUUGUUAUGAGCACUUAGCACUCCGAGCCUAAAAGGCCUCACAUUGAAUUGAUGCAAGAGAAGGCUUUGAAAAAUAACAGCAGUUUUGUUGUGUGGUCCAGUACACCCUUCGACUCGCAACCUGAAGAAAGCAGAACUCAAACUCGUCUCUUAGCAAUAUCAGCAAGGCCAUCAUGUCAAUCUCAGCCUCUAGAGCUUCAGUGAACUUAACUAGCAAACAUGACAAACGUCAUUGAAGUGAAAGUCGAUGACAACCCCCUUCUUGCACAAAUACUACAACUCGCUUAAGAAAUUCAGCAUGAAGACGUCUUGCGUCAGACUACCAAGCCUCCUAUCAAUAUCUCCUCCCAUGUUGGCUACAUCAACACUUCCAACAGCAGAGCCUUGGUGAGUUUGACUUCCGUCUUAGCAUCGAUGUCGCUUAGCAACAAUUGGAUGAUGGGCGUCGACAAAUUAUGCCGGACAAGUCGCUCGAACUGAAACUAUCUGAUCCAACAGGUAGAGCAGGCGUUGCGUGACAUGUCCAUUAAUGUGACUACUCUAUAUGUUGUUCUCGAAUAAUGUGAACCUUAGGCCUGGAGAGCAGUAUGCGAUUGACGCCAUUCAACAACAGUUGUCGGCAAUUCUCGGGUUUGGGGUGGCGACUUCGGCGUCGGAACUCGCUCCAUCUCUGUCUAAGGCCCAGUCGCAGCAGCAGCAGCAGCAACAAGAACAAUAAAGCCGGUUCCUACAGGAUCCCAUGCAAUAGAUUGGUACCCAGCUGAACAACAGGCUUUCGGGUAAGCUGGGCCCGGAUAGGUGCAGCCAGUCUAAAGCUGGGGCUUCAAACUUUCCUGCCAAGUGGGCUGAUAUUACCUCUUCUACAAGGGACAUAUGUCAGUGAUGUGCAAAGAGCUGGUUUUCUGUUCACAGAGAAAUAUCCUAACAACUCCAACUCAGCCACUACAUCUCAACAGGUAAGUCCCCUAACCAUU
This is a long non-coding RNA of Dreissena polymorpha, 3700 nucleotides long. RefSeq lists it as uncharacterized. The transcript is spliced from 6 exons. NCBI's taxonomy places the organism in Eukaryota, Metazoa, Mollusca, Bivalvia, Myida, Dreissenidae. The record is from RefSeq and is a predicted model, not a curated record.